ACACAGUCAUGCUUUUCAUUUGAACCAAGCUAUGCUGUCUUUGGGUUUUUCUUAGCUGGAACACCUUGCCUUAUGUGGUUAGCUGUCUGAGUCCCAUAUGUAGUCAUGCCAUGGCAUUGUAUGGGGGUGCAGUUGCCUGAGCAUGCCCACUGUUGUGAUGAAAGCAGUGAGUUGCAGUAUGCAAGGGAACCUUGUGCUUGCGACUGUAAUGGCAACGAGGACGUUGCAGCUUUGAAAGACCGGGGAAAUGUAAGGGAUUUGUGUUCGUUACCGAGUACGUAUGGUUUGUCUUUGAUCGGUACGACUCUGUGUCGUGCAAGGCUUUGCCAGACUAUUUAAGGCAUUCCUACACCAUUAUUUGUAAGCUUAGUAUUCUUCUCUUCCUUGUCUCUCAGUCAGCGAUUGAUGUCGGGCUCUGCAGAUCGGGCAAGUUAGGAACUAAUGCUUCCUCCAGUCGCCAACUGGAGCCAGUUCCUUUCACACUGACGCAGCCGUC
Molecule: long non-coding RNA, 496 nt
Filed under: Volvox carteri
Lineage: Eukaryota; Viridiplantae; Chlorophyta; Chlorophyceae; Chlamydomonadales; Volvocaceae
Description: long non-coding RNA (VCAR_LNC002553)
Source: RNAcentral